UACGGGAGGAGCGAGCAUUAUUCGGAAUGAUUAGGCGUAAAGGGUUUGUAGGUGGUUUUUUAAGUUGAAAAAAAAAAAAUAAAGCUCAACUUUAUAAAUUUUUUCAAAACUGAAGAACUUGAGUAUAAAUAGAGGAUAAUGGAAUUUCUAUUGGAAUGAUAAAAUAUGUUGAUAAUAGAAGGAAGCUCAAGAGCGAAGGCAAUUAUCUGGGUAUAUACUGACACUGAGAAACGAAAGCUUGGGUAGCAAACGGG
RNAcentral lists this ribosomal RNA (254 nucleotides) under uncultured bacterium. Its description in RNAcentral is "partial 16S ribosomal RNA". It matches the Rfam family "Bacterial small subunit ribosomal RNA", at positions 524 to 776 of the family's 1533-position model. The record is from RNAcentral.